GACGAACGCUGGCGGCGUGCCUAGUACAUGCAAGUUGAGCGCUGAAGGUUGGUACUUGUACCAACUGGAUGAGCAGCGAACGGGUGAGUAACGCGUGGGGAAUCUGCCUUUGAGCGGGGGACAACAUUUGGAAACGAAUGCUAAUACCGCAUAAAAACUUUAAACACAAGUUUUAAGUUUGAAAGAUGCAAUUGCAUCACUCAAAGAUGAUCCCGCGUUGUAUUAGCUAGUUGGUGAGGUAAAGGCUCACCAAGGCGAUGAUACAUAGCCGACCUGAGAGGGUGAUCGGCCACAUUGGGACUGAGACACGGCCCAAACGCCUACGGGAGGCAGCAGUAGGGAAUCUUCGGCAAUGGACGAAAGUCUGACCGAGCAACGCCGCGUGAGUGAAGAAGGUUUUCGGAUCGUAAAACUCUGUUGGUAGAGAAGAACGUUGGUGAGAGUGGAAAGCUCAUCAAGUGACGGUAACUACCCAGAAAGGGACGGCUAACUACGUG
Molecule: ribosomal RNA, 497 nt
Filed under: uncultured bacterium
Lineage: Bacteria
Description: partial 16S ribosomal RNA
Rfam family: Bacterial small subunit ribosomal RNA
Source: RNAcentral